UACAGAGGUCUCAAGCGUUGUUCGGAUUCAUUGGGCGUAAAGGGUGCGUAGGCGGCGCGGUAAGUCGGGUGUGAAAUCUCGGAGCUUAACUCCGAAACUGCAUUCGAUACUGCCGUGCUUGAGGACUGGAGAGGAGACUGGAAUUUACGGUGUAGCGGUGAAAUGCGUAGAUAUCAGGAGGAACACCAAUGGCGAAGGCAGCUCGCUGGAACGGUACUGACGCUGAGGCGCGAAAGCGUGGGGAGCAAACGGG
Molecule: ribosomal RNA, 253 nt
Filed under: uncultured bacterium
Lineage: Bacteria
Description: partial 16S ribosomal RNA
Rfam family: Bacterial small subunit ribosomal RNA
Source: RNAcentral